CGGUUGAUCCUGCCGGAGGCCACUGCUAUGGGGGUCCGACUAAGCCAUGCGAGUCAUGGGGCGCGCUCUGCGCGCACCGGCGGACGGCUCAGUAACACGUCGGUAACCUACCCUCGGGAGGGGGAUAACCCCGGGAAACUGGGGCUAAUCCCCCAUAGGCCUGAGGUACUGGAAGGUCCUCAGGCCGAAAGGGGCUUUGCCCGCCCGAGGAUGGGCCGGCGGCCGAUUAGGUAGUUGGUGGGGUAAUGGCCCACCAAGCCGAAGAUCGGUACGGGCCAUGAGAGUGGGAGCCCGGAGAUGGACACUGAGACACGGGUCCAGGCCCUACGGGGCGCAGCAGGCGCGAAACCUCCGCAAUGCGGGCAACCGCGACGGGGGGACCCCCAGUGCCGUGGCAUCGCCACGGCUUUUCCGGAGUGUAAAAAGCUCCGGGAAUAAGGGCUGGGCAAGGCCGGUGGCAGCCGCCGCGGUAAUACCGGCGGCCCGAGUGGUGGCCGCUAUUAUUGGGCCUAAAGCGUCCGUAGCCGGGCCCGUAAGUCCCUGGCGAAAUCCCACGGCUCAACCGUGGGGCUUGCUGGGGAUACUGCGGGCCUUGGGACCGGGAGAGGCCGGGGGUACCCCUGGGGUAGGGGUGAAAUCCUAUAAUCCCAGGGGGACCGCCAGUGGCGAAGGCGCCCGGCUGGAACGGGUCCGACGGUGAGGGACGAAGGCCAGGGGAGCGAACCGGAUUAGAUACCCGGGUAGUCCUGGCUGUAAAGGAUGCGGGCUAGGUGUCGGGCGAGCUUCGAGCUCGCCCGGUGCCGAAGGGAAGCCGUUAAGCCCGCCGCCUGGGGAGUACGGCCGCAAGGCUGAAACUUAAAGGAAUUGGCGGGGGAGCAC
Molecule: ribosomal RNA, 879 nt
Filed under: uncultured euryarchaeote
Lineage: Archaea; Methanobacteriati; Methanobacteriota
Description: bacterial SSU rRNA
Rfam family: Archaeal small subunit ribosomal RNA
Source: RNAcentral